RNAcentral lists this ribosomal RNA (253 nucleotides) under uncultured bacterium. RNAcentral describes it as "partial 16S ribosomal RNA". It matches the Rfam family "Bacterial small subunit ribosomal RNA", at positions 524 to 776 of the family's 1533-position model. The record is from RNAcentral.
UACAGAGACUGCAAGCGUUAUUCGGAUUUACUGGGCGUAAAGGGUGCGUAGGUGGCAACGUAAGUUGGAUGUGAAAUCCUGGGGCUCAACCUCAGAAUUGCAUUCAAUACUGCUUAGCUAGAGAGCUGUAGAGGAGACUGGAAUUUACGGUGUAGCAGUGAAAUGCGUAGAUAUCGUAAGGAACGCCAGUGGCGAAAGCGAGUCUCUGGGCAGCAUCUGACACUGAGGCACGAAGGCCAGGGGAGCAAACGGG